AGCUACGACUCUAUGUGCUGCUGCAUGUGGUUUUUUAAGUUAUGCUUUCGGCGAAAACCAAGUGAGCAGACACUGCACUUGAAAGGAUAAUCGUCUGUGUGCAUGCGCUUGUGUUUACCCAGGUUUGAA
Molecule: long non-coding RNA, 129 nt
Filed under: Dermacentor andersoni
Lineage: Eukaryota; Metazoa; Arthropoda; Arachnida; Ixodida; Ixodidae
Description: uncharacterized LOC126529652
Source: RNAcentral